UACGUAGGUGGCAAGCGUUGUCCGGAAUUAUUGGGCGUAAAGCGCGCGCAGGCGGGUUUUUAAGUCUGUCUUAAAAGUUCGGGGCUUAACCCCGUGAGGGGAUGGAAACUGGAAACCUAGAGUAUCGGAGAGGAAAGCGGAAUUCCUAGUGUAGCGGUGAAAUGCGUAGAUAUUGGGAAGAACACCGGUGGCGAAGGCGACUUGCUGGGCAGCAACUGACGCUGAGGCGCGAAAGCCAGGGGAGCAAACGGG
This 252-nucleotide ribosomal RNA is filed under the name uncultured microorganism. RNAcentral describes it as "partial small subunit ribosomal RNA". It matches the Rfam family "Bacterial small subunit ribosomal RNA", at positions 524 to 776 of the family's 1533-position model. The record is from RNAcentral.